AUGAAUGGCGCGGGGCUGAAGAGCCGGCGCGGCGCCGGCGCAGCAACCGAGAGUUUGCGGCGCGGUCCGAGCGGGGCCGGCGCGGGGCGCGGCGGAGAGGGCCGCGGGCGCGGGUCUUCGGCGCAGCGCCUCCGCGGGCGGCCGAGAGCGGGCGGCGGCGGCGGGCCGGCCGCGCCAUGGCGGAGGGGAAGGGAGGUCACGCGUUACAUAACCCGGCAGCUGCCGCGCUUCGGGCGCCGCGGGCCGCCCAGGCCGCGAGACCAACGGCCGCGGGGCCGGGCCGGCGCGCCCGCCCUCGCCCGCCUCAGGCCGCCGCGCCGGGCGACGCGGGGCCGCUCCCACCCGCCCCACCCCCGCCGCCGGCCCGGGGUCGCUCACCUUCAGCCCUGCCCCAGACCACCAUGCCCGGGCGCGGCCGCCUCCUCCGGCCUCGCGGGCCCCGGCGCCGCCGCACGGUGCCCUCGCCGGGGGCGGGGAGGAGGGCCGGCGAAGGAGUCGCACCGCCGCGCCGCGGUCCACGCUCGCCCCACGCUCGCGGCGGCCGGCCUGCGCGCGCUCGGCGCCUGCUCCGCCCCUCCCCAGCGGGCGCGCGCGCCGCGGCUCCGCCCCGCCCCGCCCCUCCUCCGGCGGCCGGCGCCCUCCCAGGCCCCGCCCCGCCCGCGGCUGCUCGCGCUCCGCCCCGCGCGGCGCCCGCGCCCGCGUGGAGCCCUGCCCUGGGCGAUGGCGAACCGCAGGCGCCAAGCCCCUGUCGUCCCCGGCCGGCCCGCAGCGGGCCGCGCCUCCGUGGCACCUGACCAUCUGGCUCGCGGGGGCGGAGAGGAGCGCGGCGCGGGCCCGCCUUCCGCAUCGCGCCGCCAGCCCUGCUCCCCGAACCCGGCUCGCCUCCCGCUUGGUCGCGGAGCCGUCCCGGCCUCCUGGAGGCCCCGCCCGGCUCUGCGCUCCCCGGUCUGGGAGGGCACAAGUACAGGGACUGACCAUGCUGGAAACCCUGGAAGAUCCGUAAAACGCCGGGGUCCCCCGCCACUAGCCGUUGACUCACAGUGA
RNAcentral lists this long non-coding RNA (1044 nucleotides) under Bos grunniens (domestic yak). RNAcentral's name for it is "lncRNA (ENSBGRG00000026840.1)". The record is from RNAcentral. Lineage: Eukaryota; Metazoa; Chordata; Mammalia; Artiodactyla; Bovidae.